UAGGGAAUCUUCCACAAUGGACGCAAGUCUGAUGGAGCAACGCCGCGUGAGUGAAGAAGGUUUUCGGAUCGUAAAGCUCUGUUGUUGGUGAAGAAGGAUAGAGGUAGUAACUGGCCUUUAUUUGACGGUAAUCAACCAGAAAGUCACGGCUAACUACGUGCCAGCAGCCGCGGUAAUACGUAGGUGGCAAGCGUUGUCCGGAUUUAUUGGGCGUAAAGCGAGCGCAAGCGGUAGAAUAAGUCUUAUGUGAAAUCCCUCGGCUUAAACGAGUAACUGCAUCGGAAACUGUUUUACUUGAGUGCAGGAGAGGAGAGUGGAAUUCCAUGUGUAGCGGUGGAAUGCGUAGAUAUAUGGAAGAACACCAGUGGCGAAGGCGACUCUCAGGUCGGCAACUGACGCUGAGGCUCGAAAGCAUGGGUAGCGAACAGG
RNAcentral lists this ribosomal RNA (429 nucleotides) under bacterium. RNAcentral's name for it is "partial 16S ribosomal RNA". It matches the Rfam family "Bacterial small subunit ribosomal RNA", at positions 355 to 776 of the family's 1533-position model. The record is from RNAcentral.